GACGAACGCUGGCGGCGUGCUUAACACAUGCAAGUCGAACGGAAAGGCCCUGCUUUUGUGGGGUGCUCGAGUGGCGAACGGGUGAGUAACACGUGAGUAACCUGCCCUUGACUUUGGGAUAACUUCAGGAAACUGGGGCUAAUACCGGAUAGGAGCUCCUGCUGCAUGGUGGGGGUUGGAAAGUUUCGGCGGUUGGGGAUGGACUCGCGGCUUAUCAGCUUGUUGGUGGGGUAGUGGCUUACCAAGGCUUUGACGGGUAGCCGGCCUGAGAGGGUGACCGGCAACAUUGGAACUGAAAAACGCCCAAAACUCCAACGGAAGACAACAGUGGGAAAUAUUGAAAAGUGGCGGGAAGCCUAAUCCAAAACCCCCCCGUGCGGAAUAACGACUUUCGGUUUAAAAACCACUUCCCCCUUUAACAAACCUUGAUUAACGAAAAUUAAAAAAAAAACACCGGCUAACUACGUC
RNAcentral lists this ribosomal RNA (468 nucleotides) under uncultured bacterium. RNAcentral's name for it is "partial 16S ribosomal RNA". It matches the Rfam family "Bacterial small subunit ribosomal RNA", at positions 28 to 507 of the family's 1533-position model. The record is from RNAcentral.